Molecule: transfer RNA, 63 nt
Filed under: Brachycybe lecontii
Lineage: Eukaryota; Metazoa; Arthropoda; Diplopoda; Playtdesmida; Andrognathidae
Description: tRNA-Trp
Source: RNAcentral
AAAAUUUUAAGUUAAAUAAACUAGUAACCUUCAAAGUUAAAUAUAAUUUAUAAUUAAAUUUUA